CCUAGGGGUCCUCACAUGGACGUUGCGGUCACCACGCCGUUUAGACUGGGGAGUGGGGUAGGGGCUACCCUAGACCUAGGGUAUAAACUCGACCGCCGCCAUAUAUGUGCAGCUCAUGCCCCACGGUCCCUCCUCCCCGCAGACCCAGUGUUCCCCCGCCUUUUGAUUCCCACGGCCAAACGCUCCUCGGCCACCUCUGUGGCGUGAUCCGUCGUCGCUGCGCAAAGCCAUCGCCGCCAGGGUCGCUCUGCCACGUCGCCGACCGGGGCUGAUCCGGGGCCAGUGCGGGGUUCCGGGCGUUCGCGUGGGUGUAACACGAGAGUUCAUGUGACAGUUGGGUCCAGUACUGGCACCGGGCGUCGACGAUUUCUCACCGGAGCACUCAACUCCGUCGUAAAUCCGCCUGGUCCGCGGACAGCUUUGCGCCCACCGUUUUCUCUGGAUCUGAAGAAUCAUUCUGGUACCUGGAAUCUCAAGUCCCAGGCAA
Molecule: long non-coding RNA, 487 nt
Organism: Zea mays
Lineage: Eukaryota; Viridiplantae; Streptophyta; Magnoliopsida; Poales; Poaceae
Exons: 3
Source: RefSeq, a predicted model, not a curated record